AACGGACGCUGGCGGCAGGCCUAACACAUGCAAGUCGAGCGAGGACUUCGGUCCUAGCGGCGGACGGGUGAGUAACGCGUGGGAACGUGCCCUUUGCUUCGGAAUAGCCCUGGGAAGCUGGGAGUAAUACCGGAUGAGCCCUUUGGGGGAAAGAUUUAUCGGCGAAGGAUCGGCCCGCGUUGGAUUAGGUAGUUGGUGGGGUAAUGGCCUACCAAGCCGACGAUCCAUAGCUGGUUUGAGAGGAUGAUCAGCCACACUGGGACUGAGACACGGCCCAGACUCCUACGGGAGGCAGCAGUGGGGAAUCUUAGACAAUGGGGGAAACCCUGAUCUAGCCAUGCCGCGUGAGCGAUGAAGGCCUUAGGGUUGUAAAGCUCUUUCAGCUGGGAAGAUAAUGACGGUACCAGCAGAAGAAGCCCCGGCUAACUCCGUG
RNAcentral lists this ribosomal RNA (433 nucleotides) under uncultured bacterium. Its description in RNAcentral is "partial 16S ribosomal RNA". It matches the Rfam family "Bacterial small subunit ribosomal RNA", at positions 29 to 507 of the family's 1533-position model. The record is from RNAcentral.